CAGUUUUCUCUCCUAUUCUAUCCUGAGAGUGUACUCCCUAUCCUUUUUCUUCCUGUUCAUCUGUAGCCUAUCACAGUGUGUUGGUCCCAAAUUCACCAUCUUGGAAUCUCACUAUAGUUAUUCUUAUCACAGAAGAGUGAGUUGUAAGAAGAGUCGAUUCUGUAAUAUCACCCACAAACCUCACUCAAUUUGGAAUUUGGCUUAGAGACUACUAGAAUGAAGCCAGUGGGGAUUCAUAGCAGAGACAAUGCUCCACAGAGAAGCAGAUUAAGUCAGAGUUGUGAAGUUGGAGGGUAUUUGAAAUCUUCAGAAUUAUUUUGAUCAAUGUGAAACCUAAAGCAACUUUCAUUCCUGGGAGAUUGAAACGCUAAGACAAAAGGUGUGAGAAGAGGAAGACAACUUUACACAAGAGAAGGAAAUGAAGAACUGUGAUUUAUAUGCUGUCCAGUCUGAUCAUAGUGACUUCAGUCCACCGGAUUGAAACCUUAAGUACUCAGUGUGACACACUUAACCAAAAUCCUCUGCCAUAAAAAUCUUAGAAGCAAACUCAUAAAAGCUUACUUCAAAGAGAGGUUGUGAGGAAGAAAUGCUAAAUUAGGAACUUGCCUUAUACAUGGUGCUCCUAAUUCAUUUAUUCAAGCCUAUUCAGUCACUGCAAGAAUAAAAAAGGCACUGAGUGCUAAUACUCCUGUGAGCUGUGUGAAGUGUAUAUUUUAUUGGAGUAGUGACAGAACAACAGAACAGUAGGCUCCAAAUAAUCAUUGAUAGACAAAAUUGGGACAGGAGGGCAUGGUGGUCACACUGACUACGAUGUCAUCAGUGUGACAGACUGGUAAGGGUCUUAGAAGUUGAGGGGAUGGGAGAGAAGAAAUGCAAUAAGAAACACAAUGGUGAGCCACAUUAGGAGCAGAGACAGGUGUGAUGACUCUUUAGUGGCCCUUCUCAAGACUCUGAAGUUCAAGUGGUAAGUAACAAUUUAUUCCAGAGCUAGAAAGGAAGUCUUGGGUAAGAUUCUCUCUAUUAUUGAUUCUGGAGGACCCUGUAGUAAUUCUGGCCAUGUAGUCACCAUUCUAGCAGACAAUAGAAAGCCCCUGCCUCAACUGUCACCACAUGAUAUUUCUCAUCACCAAGAAAGACUUGAAACCUGAGGAUGUAAGGAAACAUCCACCCUCAUGAGCAUUCAUCCUGCAGUGUUUGGCACUCACACAAUACCUGUGCCAGUCCUCACGCAGGAGCAGUGAUGGGGGUGGAUGGCUAAUGAUCACAUCACCAAGUCACAGGGUUAGGGGAAGAGGAGUUACAGGAUUUGAUCUGUGUCUGAGGUAUCCCAGUACCCAUCUGCCCAGACUCUGUAUCUUUAUGAAUGGUGCUGCCUUCUGUGGACAUCUGUCUCCUUGGGAUCUUUCCACAAUUUCAUCACUUUCUAUUUUCUAAAAUGUGCUGUCUGACUGGGCUCCUGUGUCUACAGUAUGCUUUCUCAUCACUUUCUGGACCAGUCUCCUAGUGGAGGGAGCACAUGGAGACAACUCAAUUACGGCCAUUAAAAGUUGAGUGCAAUUGCCAGGCUGUAUUUUGAAUACUUUCCUGAACCUUAAGGAAGAGACUUCAAUCAAGUUUUUCACAUUCAUGUAGGAAGCCUCUAGGGGUAAAUGUCAAUCAAUAACCCUGGGCAAGUGCUAGGAGCAGAAAUAAUAUUUUCCUAUUCCUGAGUCCCAAAACCAUUAAGAUUCAACAAUUAUGAUUAAGUCCUGACAGUGAACCUGGUCCUAUUUCCAAAAUUUCACAAGUGAGAUUUGAUGUUCUGAUUAUAGAAAUAGACUAAACUAUGAUCAGAGUGUUGGUAAGUGACUGCUCACCUGCCAUGUAGUAUCAGCCAAGUGACUUUAUCUUUCUAUGCCUUGCAUUCUCUAUAAAAAGGGCAAUGAUUCCUGAUGCCCAAAACUGUUUUUGAGUAUAAAGAGUUCCAGAUACAGACACUCCUCAGCUAGUGUCGGACAAACCCUAAACCCUCAAUAAUUCUUAGAUAUCAGGAUUUGGAAUGUUACACCUUGUGAUGAUUUAAUUGAUGUUUUCUCAUUCCCUGUUCACCUCUAGUAUCCACAAAGUAAGGGGUCUUUUCAGAUUACUUCUCAUUCUCAAGACAGAGACUGAAAUGUAGAAGACCUCCAGACUGAAGAAAGGAAUGAUGAACCAAGAACACAGUUUUUUUACUCAAUUCUGUCAUCUUAUCAUGUGGAUACUAGUCAGGCAGUAAAAAGCACUGAGUUCUGGCCUCACUUCUACCACAAAG
This is a non-coding RNA of Oryctolagus cuniculus (rabbit), 2290 nucleotides long. The record is from RefSeq and is a predicted model, not a curated record. NCBI's taxonomy places the organism in Eukaryota, Metazoa, Chordata, Mammalia, Lagomorpha, Leporidae.